This 253-nucleotide ribosomal RNA is filed under the name uncultured bacterium. RNAcentral's name for it is "partial 16S ribosomal RNA". It matches the Rfam family "Bacterial small subunit ribosomal RNA", at positions 524 to 776 of the family's 1533-position model. The record is from RNAcentral.
UACAGAGGUGGCAAGCGUUGUUCGGAAUUACUGGGCGUAAAGGGCGCGUAGGCGGCCUUCUAAGUCAGACGUGAAAUCCCCCGGCUUAACCUGGGAACUGCGUCUGAUACUGGGAGGCUAGAGUAUGGGAGAGGGAUGUAGAAUUCCAGGUGUAGCGGUGAAAUGCGUAGAUAUCUGGAGGAACACCGGUGGCGAAGGCGGCGUCCUGGACCAACACUGACACUGAGGAGCGAAAGCCAGGGGAGCAAACGGG